UUUUUAUAUGUAAUUUUCAGUUUUACAUAUAUAUCAGGCCCAAGUUGGCCUAACAACCCCCCUAACCGCAUGCCCCAAUACACACAUUUUUUAGGUAAAUAUUUUAAGUAGAUAGGUUUUAACCCUUCCUCGACACAAUACAAGAUUAAUCGCCGGAAUCUCCAUGGUUUGGUUGGAAACUGGCCGGAAUCGCCGAUUUUUGGCCGGCCGACUAGGGCUGAUUAGGUCCGACUAGGGCCGACUACCGAUUAAAGGACCAAUUAACGAAAAAUUACUCAGUGACCGGCCGACUAGCGAUUAAUCGCCAACUAGUCCUGAUUUUAAACAUAGUAUUUAUCGUUUCAUGGUGUAUAGUAAAUAUUUGUCAUGCCCAUAAUCCUUCAUUUAGGUUCCGAAUUCAACAGUUUCAAAAUUUUCUAUGAGUUUCAGAUUUUUAGUGCAUAUCACAUGAGCUCGAGGAUAUACUUAAGUUAUGUCUUAAGAAAUAACUAUUAGUUAUUUUGAUUUGCAUUUUAAUUUUAAUUUUCAUUUUUCUAAAUCGUGUGAGUGAAACAUGUAAUAGUUCUUAACUGAAAAUGCAAUUUAAAAUUUUUAAAAUUCUAGGGUAAAGCUACAAGCCUACAACUACAUUUAGAAAUCUUUAUCCCCAUAAGAUGCUCUUUACAUGAUCCCACUUGUUAGAAGAGUAUUGAUGGGGCCGUGAGUUUUCCCUAAUGUGUUAUAACGAUCACCAAUAUGUGUGUGUAUAAUAAGUGAGAAAUAUAGAGCGUACCAGUCUAAUCCCUCAAAUAGACCUUCUCCUUUAAUUGCAGAAGUUUUAAAUAUUGACCAUUGACGGUUUUUGAUUUUAUGCAAUUCCAAGGAUUCAGUCACAGCAGCAUCAUCAAGCGCUCCAGGAAGAUCCUAUUAAUAAAACGGGAUGUGGUUUGA
Molecule: long non-coding RNA, 930 nt
Filed under: Helianthus annuus (common sunflower)
Lineage: Eukaryota; Viridiplantae; Streptophyta; Magnoliopsida; Asterales; Asteraceae
Description: hypothetical non coding rna
Source: RNAcentral